Non-coding RNA from Lasallia pustulata, 73 nucleotides. NCBI's taxonomy places the organism in Eukaryota, Fungi, Ascomycota, Lecanoromycetes, Umbilicariales, Umbilicariaceae. The record is from Rfam.
GAGACCUUAGUUUAACUGGUAAAAUAUGUGACUUUUAAUCAUCAACACAUGGGUUCAAACCCCGUAGGUCUUA